This 51-nucleotide non-coding RNA is filed under the name unclassified sequences. The record is from Rfam.
UGAAGUGAUUGUAGGGCGCAAUCACGUUAAUCAAAAAAAAGCCCAAUUUAU